RNA transcript from Gossypium raimondii (Peruvian cotton), 2838 nucleotides. RefSeq lists it as uncharacterized. The record is from RefSeq and is a predicted model, not a curated record. The transcript has 3 exons. Lineage: Eukaryota; Viridiplantae; Streptophyta; Magnoliopsida; Malvales; Malvaceae.
GCCAUUUUAUAAAACUCUCCACCCCUGAAAUCCCCAACUUUCGCCCCUAAAAUCCCUAAUUUCCCACAUCCAAGAAAAGAAACCCAAAAGCUUAUUCAACUCAGUUUCUUCCCAACUGAAGCCAAGCCAGUUCUUAUUUGUUCUUCGUCUUAAAACUCUCAAAUGGAUAAAAGGGGUCCAAAAUCAAAGAACCCAGAACCAGGAAACCAAGGAAACGAUGAGAAAAAGAGCAAAAAGGGAUUGCGACUAUUAGCUCGAGUUAAACCAUCUGAGAUUUUCUUGAAAUCUAUAACCAAGGAUGUUACCAAUGUUCAGAUUACAUACCCUUGCAGGUUAUACGGGUACUGUCCUCCUGAAAAACGGUAAACUAUCGGACAUAUUAGGCUAAUUGCAGGUUAGUUUUGAUCGUUUUGUUUGUUUUGAUUUGCUAGUUUCCCCCUGCCGUAUGAUUCAAAUAUUUGUCCUUUGGAUUUUGUGUUGAUUGACUAGGUUUCUACUUUUCAUUCUUUUUCGUCUAUUAAUUUUAGCUUUUAACUCCUUUUUUCCUGAUUUUCUUAAUUAUAAACGGCAAGGAGUUGCCAAUUUUUAAACCAAAGUGGUGUAUCCAUAGCCACUGCUCAUGGAAUAGCUAAGAAUAUAUUAUUUAUAACUACUCCUUAUAUUUACAUACAAGUGCUCACAGGAUUCACACCCCAGAUUGAAAUUAGCUAAUGGCGAGGGGUAUUAACCCUUUUUUUAAUGAUAUAAUAAUAUAAUACACAUACACCCCUCGGGAGGUUUACAACCUCUAAAGGUGUCAAGGGUUCAUGAACCCUCGGGGGUUACACCUCUUUUUUUGCUCUGGUUUUUCUUUUAUAUGUAAUAUGUAUACAUGCAUAAAAUUGCCCUCGGGGGCAAUACUUAUACUUGGUUUUAAUAUGCAUAAAAUUGCCAAGGGGUUAAACCGUUCGGGGGCCAUGCUUAUACUUUUUUUUAAUAUAAAAUACAAAUAUGCGAUGGGACACGUAUAUUUUUAGCAAAAUGGGCGAGGGGUUGGGUGAGGAGUUUGGGGAGGUGCUAACUAUCAAACUAAAAAUAUAUAUUAUAUAUUUAACGCCGCCAAACACAUAUAAAUAUAUAUUUUUACUACUCAAUCAAUCUAAAACGUAUAAAUAUCUAGAUGGUGAGGGAUUAACAGGGUGUCAAUUGCCAAUUAAAAAUAUAUUAUAUCCAUGCAAUGGACGAAGGGAUAGUGUCCUGGCGGUAUUUUCUUAAUUAUAUUUGCUUCAAUAGUAGUUCUUUUAGGCGCAUAUAUGUGAAACCAGUUUAUAAUUGCAUUAACGGGAUUAGAUGAACCAUUUUCUAAGAGGAUUUGCUUUGGUUGUAUUAGUAAUACAGAGACCUCGCAGGUAAUUUAACCAAAUAAUUUUGCAACUGAAUUGAUGCACAAGCGUUAGGAUUUUUAAGGGAAGUGAGAAGCUCCUUCAGCUAGUCUCAAAUUACUCCAUGGUUUCAAACUUGAAGGAGAAUGAAUCUGAAGUAUGGAACCAAGGAUUCUUCAUGUCACCAAUAGGUAAGCUCAUAUAUACAACCUUGAAAACAAUGGACAUAACAUGGGCAUGUUCGGUUCUUCCAACUAUGGGUACUUCAAUGAUGCUUUUAUGGUUUGGCAGCUUCACAUGCAUUAAUAUUUUUUUUAGGCAUAAUUUGGAAAUAACCCAUCAUUUCUUUUCUUGGAAAACUGGAAAAAAAAGAAGAAACAAAUUCAUAAUUUUGUAUGUUUUACAUUUAUGUUUUUCGAUAGCUUGUUCUUAUCAAUGGUUUUUUUUUUUUUGGAUGUUAACUUUCAAGAAAAAUCAAUUAUUUGGUUUUUCCUGCUUCAUGUCUCGUUUUUGUUUGAGAGGAGUUAACGAAAUCGAAAAUACCCUAUAAAUUGUAUUUUAUAAAUAUUCUUAACCAUUAUUGAUUGUCUGGUCUCUUUGCUGUAAUCUAUGAUGUUAGGGCCUUCACUAAUUUUCUAUUUGCCUAUUAAUGUGCACGAGCUGCGACAAUAUAUUUUUUGAUGCAUUUAGUUGGUUUGCAGUCUAUGGUUAUAUAGUAGAAGAGAUAAGCAUAGAGAAAUGGUCGAUCACCCACACUAAUUUCCUAUCCUGAACAGUCUUCUUCAUCUGUUAGUAGCCAUUGUUUUGACAAUCAUGGUAUAAGAGGAUCACCCACAUCAACAGUCAUUGGACCUUCCAAGCAUCGGCAUUCAACUCUUGGGGAUCCCAAUUUUGUGGAGAAUUACUUCAAGAGUGGGAAAGACAUCUUUAAUGAAUCAGUAUCCUUUAUUUUGAGAUACAUGCUUUGUUUUAGCACAUUAUAUUUGAUAGUUAGUUGCAUUGAAAGACACACAAUGACAAUUACUAAUUUGUUAAGAAAGAUGUGAUUACUUUGCAAAAUUCAAUUGUUUAAAUUAUUUUCAUAGCCUACUUUGAUUGCUGUUAUUUGUGGGAAAAUUAGUCUACAUUCUUUAAGCUGAUCUUAAACUGCUUCCUACAUUGUUUUAGCCUUGGGAAGAAAGUUUGCGGGAUGCACACGAGUUUGGAAAACUUGGGAAGAAAGUUUGGAAUGCCUUCAAUGAAACUUGCAGAGCAAAGAUGGUGCAGCAGACUGCAUUGUAUUUUUUAUUACCGUGCAAUGUGUAUAGUCAUAGGCAGGUUUAACUAGUCAGUCUGUUUCUCAUAUGUAUUAUUUAUUUUAGUUUUGAUUCUAAAUUUUUAUUUUUACUUUAAUAUUUACAACAACUUGAGUUCUAACUUUUGGAUUUUAAUUGUGUUAUUAAUUUAUUAUUUUAAAUUCUAAAACUAAAUUCAUUAA